UCGGCCAAUGAGGGGGCGAGCCGGGCCGGGGGGCGGGGCACCGGGGCCUUGUCACGCUCGGGUCCGUGUGAAAACGGGGGUUCCGAGUGCAAAGCAAAGUUUUUUUGUAAACCGUCUGCAAAGGCGGGGGGGUUAAGACGGCGGCCGCCGCCGGGUCGAGCUCAUUCGCCGCGGACGCCGUCUCCCGAGCGCCUCGGACCGAUGCUCAGCCGCCCCUCGGCACGCAGUCGCCCUCCCGCGCCCGCGCCCGCACCCUCCGCCUCGCUGGUCCCGGUCCCGCCGAGCGCCGGUGCUUGAGUCGCUGCGCGGCCGGCGGUUUCCCCACAGCGCCGCUCCCGCUCGCUUCUGCGCCGCGCCUCAGGCCGCCGCCGCCGCCGCCAUGGGCUGCUGGGGCCGCAACCGCGGCCGGCUGCUGUGCAUGCUGCUGCUGACCUUCAUGUUCAUGGUGCUGGAGGUGGUGGUGAGCCGGGUGACCGCGUCGCUCGCCAUGCUGUCCGACUCCUUCCACAUGCUGUCGGACGUGCUGGCGCUCGUGGUGGCGCUGGUGGCCGAACGCUUCGCCCGCAGGACCCACGCCACGCAGAAGAACACGUUCGGCUGGAUCCGCGCCGAGGUGAUGGGCGCGCUGGUGAACGCCAUCUUCCUGACGGGACUGUGCUUCGCCAUCCUGCUGGAGGCCGUCGAGCGCUUCAUCGAGCCGCACGAGAUGCAGCAGCCGCUCGUGGUGCUGGGCGUCGGCGUGGCCGGGCUGCUGGUCAACGUGCUAGGGCUCUGCCUGUUCCACCACCACAGCGGCGAGGGCCAGGGCGCGGGCCACGGCCACUCGCACGGCCACGGCCACCUCGCCAAGGGCGCGCGCAAGGCGGGCCGCGCAGGGGGCGAGGCGAGCGCGCCGCCGGGACGGGCGCCGGACCAGGAGGAGACCAACACGCUGGUGGCCAACACCAGCAAUUCCAACGGGCUCAAGACGGACCCGGCAGAGCCAGAAAAACCCAGAAGCGAGGAUCUGGUGGAUGUACAAGUAAAUGGGAACCUUAUCCCGGAGCCUGAAGACGCUCUGGAGUCGGAAGACAACAAAGCGGCGCAGCUGAACAUGCGAGGGGUGUUUCUGCACGUCCUCGGUGACGCCUUGGGCUCCGUGAUCGUAGUCGUGAACGCUUCGCUCUUUUACUUCCUGUGGAAGGGUUGUUCUGAAAACAGCUUCUGUAUAAACCCAUGCUUCCGUGACCCCUGCAAGUCGUCCAUGGAGAUGAUCAACGGCACGCAGGCCCCCAUCCUAGAGGCCGGCCCAUGCUGGGUGCUCUACUUAGACCCAACUCUGUGUGUUAUCAUGGUUUGUAUACUUCUUUACACAACUUACCCGCUGCUCAAGGAAUCUGCUCUCAUCCUUCUACAAACUGUUCCCAAGCAAAUUGAUAUCCGGCAUCUGGUGAAGGAGCUGCGAGCCGUGGACGGCGUGGAGGAAGUCCACGAGUUACACGUCUGGCAGCUGGCCGGGAGCAGAAUCAUCGCCACCGCUCACAUAAAGUGUGAGGACCCAGCUUCGUACAUGCAGGUGGCCAAGACCAUUAAAGACGUUUUUCACAACCACGGAAUUCACGCUACUACCAUCCAGCCUGAGUUUGCUAGCGUAGGGUCUAAAGUAGUCCCGUGUGAACUUGCCUGCAGAACUCAGUGCGCUCUGAAGCAAUGCUGUGGGACCCGGCCACAAACCCAGUCUGUAAAGGAUGCAGAAAAGGCCCCAACAGUUAGCAUUUCCUGUUUAGAACUCAGUGAAAACCUAGAGAAGAAGCCCAGGAGGACUAAAGCUGAAGGCAGCCUUCCUGCUGUGGUGAUAGAGAUUAAAAACGUGCCAAAAAAGCAGCCCGAAUCAUCUUUGUGAGUCUUGAAAAGGAUGUGAUAUUUGACUUUGCUUUUAAACUGCAAGAGAAAAUAGACUCAAUUGAAAUACUAAGUUGCCAAGUAGUGUAAUUGAAGUCCUUGUCUGGUCGCAGAGUUUAAUUCUAUUUUUGUAAGAACAUAAUGGAACUGCGUAGUAGAAUUAAUGUUCUCCAUUACAGCCUAGUGACUACUAGUGCACAGUGCAGCGAUGCUGUAGCACGCUUGAAAGCCAGUUUGACACUAUGUUACAUUGUUGUUUAAAGCACAGCAAGCGCAGUCUGCUUCUGCCAAGAGCCAUGACUUGAAGGGAAGAAAUCGGACGGUUCCUGCGGUUUGGACAUUGUAGAAAGCAGGUUACUAAGAAAGCCUCUGGUCUCUGAGCCACCUGUCUGGACAUGCUCGGUUUUCCACCGGCGCUGCUGUAAGACGCUGUCCUUUGCACCAGGAAGUCGCUCCCGGCUGCCCUUCGCCACAGAUUUCAAAUCCACGCACACAUCUGAAGAUACUUAAGUUAUAUUUUCCUUAAUAGAGAAAGGUUCAUGCUUUGUGAAGAGAAUGUAGAUUUUUUUUUUGUCUUCAAGAGAGUGACUAUUAAUAUUAGUUGUGAUAGCUCUAUUUUUCUAGGGACAAAGUACUCUGACUACUUCAAUAACUUUUAUAGCUGACUACUUUUGGGAAAGUUAAACUUUUGGGAUUUGAAAUAAUGAAUUCAUUGCUUAAUAAUCUGAAAGUGGAAGUGUUAGUGUAUGACAGUUACUUUUGAAGGGAUGGUCUUUCCCUGAGUGUAAAGAGCCUGUUGCUGGCAACGGGCCUGCUUAUAACAGCUGCAUUUUCUGCUGAGAAAUUUCAUUUUAGGAACGUAGUUUGUAAGUUCACAUUUACCGCUCUGGGCCAAUCAGCAGUCCGCAUAAUGCUUCAUUAGUAUGUGAUCCAACCCCUUGACAGGUGGUUACUUUGAAUUUUGCAAAAAUUUGCUUUUUUUCUUUUCUUUUAAACAUGGACUGGAGCGAUCUAUGGGUGAGAGAACUGGAGGUAGUUGUCUGGCGCACACCCUGACUGGCACCGCACAGGUUUGAGCGGUGUACUGGUGAAAGUGUGUGACAUCCAGCCAGUGUCCUUCAGACACACUCUGGGUGGGUUCGUGUCAAAGGUGCCCCAGGAACUGGAACAAGAGCUAUGCUGAUUUGUUUUUCAGAAGUGCUUUUAGGUUUUUUCAGAAGUGCUUUUAGGUUAAGUGGCUUCUGUGUAAAAAGUACCACAGGCUCUUUUUUUUUUUUUCUUGAAAAGUGUUUAUCAUAGCAAAACAUGGGCACCCACUCACCUCGGAGUUUUAGAGAAUUAUUUAUUUCUUUACAGUGCACUUUCUAACCCAUUUUUAGCUAUAUUAGCAUUAUCUUUAAGAAAAAAAAGACAUGUUUUUAUAUUUAAGUGUUAUGGGACUUGAGUGUCUUUUCCAAAUAGCUUCCUUUCGCUGCUCUCCUGGUCCUGUGUUUGGGCAAGGCCAGGGUGGACCUGUCUGUCAUCUGGAGCUGAGUGAGAAGGUGCUGCAUGCUCCCCAAUUGCACUCAACCAGGAAUCCUUCCAAACCACGUGCUCCUUGGAAGAACGGAUUUCAUUUUCCACGGUCAGCUUUUAACUUGUAGGAGUAAUUCUUUUCUGGGUAGUAUCUACGUUGUAGAAGUACACGCUAGAAUAUGAAAAACAGUCCUCAGACAUUUUACUGUAUUUUCACAUUCAAAAGAGAAGCAAGAUGCCGAAUGGCUUUAACCUAAAAUGUGUAAUUUGAACAGGAAGGGUUUGGAAAGUCACAGGAAGCUGUGUGUGUGUGUGUGUGUGUGUGUGUGUGUGUGUGUGUGUGUGUGUGUGUGUGUGUUGUCAGCAUUCUGUUUUGAGUUUCGGAAAGCUCUGAGGGAAUGGACGAAACCUAAUGUGGAGUAUUUGGUAUGUAAACUGGCUUUGAAUGUUCUUGCUGUUUUACAAGCAGAUACCAUUUGAACAAUAAAUGUCAUUAAGCUGCUGUCUUAAGGUAGUCAUACACAGAUAUGGAGUGUGAUUCUACAAUAGAAAAUAGUUUAAUACUGCAUUUCAGUUAAGAAAUAAAACAGUGUUAAGAGGUCUUGGGGAGGUGGAAGGCUUUUGCUGUCUCUGUGAUGGGAACUGUCCUAUGCUUCACGGACUGGGAAAUGUGACUGUAAUCUCACUAUUUUGAUACAGCACUGCAUAUAUACACGUGUGUAUGUGUAUAUGGUCAUGCUAUUUUGUCUUACUAACAAGCUCUGGAAUAUUUAGCAGUCAUUUUCACUGGCACAAGAGCCUUUUGUAUACUAAUCAAUUUAAACUUUUAAACCAAAAAUAUUAAGGUUCAGUGUCUGGCAAAAAGAUGCUGAGGCGAAUGUGACAUAGAAUUAAUAUGUGGUUAUAUAAAAAGACACGGAUCGCCGUGAUAGGGCUCUGCCUUGAAACAGCACAAUGGAGCGUCAGUGUGUCUGAUUCUUUGGUGUUCUCAUGUUGGGUGUGUCUGCUGCCACCUGUCCUCUGGGCCAACAGUGCGGUUGAUGUGGCUCUCAGCGUGUUGAGCGCCACUACAGACGGAACAAGUGCAGGACAUUUUCCCUAAUUUCUCUGUGUUAUGACUGUGUGUUAUUUCCAAAGCUGUUCCUACCUCACCACGAGGCUUUAUGGAUUGUUCUGUAUUAUAAAUGUUCUAUAUGAGACAAGACUACUGUGUUUCUUCUCAUUUAUUAAAAGUUAAGUAGAAAAAAA
Molecule: RNA transcript, 4644 nt
Organism: Microtus ochrogaster (prairie vole)
Lineage: Eukaryota; Metazoa; Chordata; Mammalia; Rodentia; Cricetidae
Gene: Slc30a1
Gene name: solute carrier family 30 member 1
Source: RefSeq, a predicted model, not a curated record